This 655-nucleotide ribosomal RNA is filed under the name Agroathelia rolfsii. Its description in RNAcentral is "eukaryotic LSU rRNA". The stretch from base 228 to 381 matches the Rfam family "5.8S ribosomal RNA". The record is from RNAcentral. Lineage: Eukaryota; Fungi; Basidiomycota; Agaricomycetes; Amylocorticiales; Amylocorticiaceae.
UAUGCAAGGAGUUGUUGCUGGUAAUGUCAUGUUGCAUGUGCACACUCUGGAGCUAUAUAACAUAUAUAACACCUGUGAACCAACUGUAGUUAGAAGCAAUUCUAACUAUGACAACUCUAUAAUAACUCUUUAUGUGUUACAUAGAACGAAAUCAUAAUUGAAACUUUCUCUCUCUCUCUCUCUCUUAUGCGUGUGUAGAGUUUGUUUCUCUUAAUAAAACAAUAUACAACUUUCAACAACGGAUCUCUUGGCUCUUGCAUCGAUGAAGAACGCAGCGAAAUGCGAUAAGUAAUGUGAAUUGCAGAAUCCAGUGAAUCAUCGAAUCUUUGAACGCACCUUGCGCCCUUUGGUAUUCCGAGGGGCAUGCCUGUUUGAGAGUCAUUAAAUUAUCAACCUUAUAAAUUUUAUUUUUUGUAAGGCUUGGAUGUGAGAGUUGCUAGUCUUUCUUUUGACUGGCUCUCUUUAAAAUGAUUAGUAGGAGACAUGUAGAAAUGCCUACGGUUGGUGUGAUAAUUAUCUGUCUACGCCUAUACCAAAAGGGGAAUUCUAGCUUUUGUGUAUUCUACUUAUAAAAACCAAUGCGCAUAUAUUGUGCAUAUAUUGACUAUUUGACCUCAAAUCAGGUAGGACUACCCGCUGAACUUAAGCAUAUCAA